This 76-nucleotide transfer RNA is filed under the name Halobacteriovorax marinus. RNAcentral describes it as "tRNA-Ala". It matches the Rfam family "tRNA". From Rfam's summary of the family: Transfer RNA (tRNA) molecules are approximately 80 nucleotides in length. Their secondary structure includes four short double-helical elements and three loops (D, anti-codon, and T loops). The record is from RNAcentral. Lineage: Bacteria; Pseudomonadati; Bdellovibrionota; Bacteriovoracia; Bacteriovoracales; Halobacteriovoraceae.
GGGGGAUUAGCUCAGUUGGGAGAGCGCUUCGCUGGCAGUGAAGAGGUCGCAGGUUCGAUCCCUGUAUCCUCCACCA